RNAcentral lists this non-coding RNA (72 nucleotides) under Coccidioides immitis H538.4. RNAcentral's name for it is "Eukaryotic small subunit ribosomal RNA". It matches the Rfam family "Eukaryotic small subunit ribosomal RNA", at positions 1 to 73 of the family's 1831-position model. The record is from Rfam by way of RNAcentral. Lineage: Eukaryota; Fungi; Ascomycota; Eurotiomycetes; Onygenales; Onygenaceae.
UACCUGGUUGAUUCUGCCAGUAGUCAUAUGCUUGUCUCAAAGAUUAACCAUGCAUGUCUAAGUAUAAGCAAU